Acanthopagrus latus (yellowfin seabream) is the source of this 600-nucleotide long non-coding RNA. RefSeq lists it as uncharacterized. The transcript has 2 exons. The record is from RefSeq and is a predicted model, not a curated record. NCBI's taxonomy places the organism in Eukaryota, Metazoa, Chordata, Actinopteri, Spariformes, Sparidae.
ACAGCGUUCCUGUGCUCCUGCCCAGCCUGAUUCCCCCGCCACACCUGUUUCACAUCAGCCUCAUUAGCGCUGCCCUGUUCCCAGCGUCCUCCACCUGCACCUCAUCCCCUCGUUAGUUUGGUUUGUUUUCUCACUCUUUGGUUUGUCCGUUUCCUUCCACGCGUCCCCUGUUCCUGUUCCCCUGGCCGUGUGUGUUUCUGAUCUGAUCUUCGUGGUUUUAUAGUUUGUCCUCAGUUUGGCAAAGAUACACCUUGCAUCUGAAGACCAUACAUUUAAAAACCUGCCACUUGAAAACUGAUGUCUGCUCGGCAGCACUGUCGCUGCACUUAGUGAUUUUGAUCACGUCCGCCUCUCUUCAUUUGGUAUUACUGCGCCCUGUAAAACCUCAGACAAUUAGGUCCGACAAAAGAUCCCUGAGGGUAAAUGAUCUGCUAAGAGAACAUUAUAUGCCCUGUUACAUGUCCCUGAGCUAAUGACUACCAAGAGUCACAAACCAAGACUCCUGUUCAUCGUCCUGUUAACGCUCCUCCUGCCUUCCCUUAUUUGAGGUUGUAAGAAAUCGUGCUUUGACUCAAAAUACAUCAGAUUUGUUACUCCCAA